UAGGGAAUCUUCGGCAAUGGACGAAAGUCUGACCGAGCAACGCCGCGUGAGUGAAGAAGGUUUUCGGAUCGUAAAGCUCUGUUGUAAGAGAAGAACGUGUGUGAGAGUGGAAAGUUCACACAGUGACGGUAACUUACCAGAAAGGGACGGCUAACUACGUGCCAC
RNAcentral lists this ribosomal RNA (165 nucleotides) under uncultured bacterium. Its description in RNAcentral is "partial 16S rRNA". It matches the Rfam family "Bacterial small subunit ribosomal RNA", at positions 355 to 511 of the family's 1533-position model. The record is from RNAcentral.